RNAcentral lists this ribosomal RNA (432 nucleotides) under uncultured bacterium. RNAcentral describes it as "partial 16S ribosomal RNA". It matches the Rfam family "Bacterial small subunit ribosomal RNA", at positions 29 to 507 of the family's 1533-position model. The record is from RNAcentral.
ACGAACGCUGGCGGCAUACCUAACACAUGCAAGUCGAACGAGACCUUCGGGUCUAGUGGCGCACGGGUGCGUAACGCGUGGGAACCUGCCCUUAGGUUCGGAAUAACUCCCCGAAAGGGGUGCUAAUACCGGAUAAUGUCUUCGGACCAAAGAUUUAUCGCCUUUGGAUGGGCCCGCGUUGGAUUAGCUAGUUGGUAGGGUAAAAGCCUACCAAGGCGACGAUCCAUAGCUGGUCUGAGAGGAUGAUCAGCCACACUGGGACUGAGACACGGCCCAGACUCCUACGGGAGGCAGCAGUGGGGAAUAUUGGACAAUGGGCGAAAGCCUGAUCCAGCAAUGCCGCGUGAGUGAUGAAGGCCUUAGGGUUGUAAAGCUCUUUUACCCGGGAUGAUAAUGACAGUACCGGGAGAAUAAGCUCCGGCUAACUCCGUG